RNAcentral lists this ribosomal RNA (274 nucleotides) under uncultured bacterium. Its description in RNAcentral is "partial 16S ribosomal RNA". It matches the Rfam family "Bacterial small subunit ribosomal RNA", at positions 523 to 796 of the family's 1533-position model. The record is from RNAcentral.
AUACGGAGGGUGCAAGCGUUACUCGGAAUCACUGGGCGUAAAGCGCGCGCAGGCGGCUUGAUAAGUUGGAUGUGAAAGCCUACGGCUCAACCGUAGAACUGCACCCAAAACUGUCAAGCUAGAGUCUGGGAGGGGAAGAUGGAAUUAGUUGUGUAGGGGUAAAAUCCGUAGAGAUAACUAGGAAUACCAAAAGCGAAGGCGAUCUUCUGGAACAGUACUGACGCUGAGGCGCGAAGGCGUGGGGAGCAAACAGGAUUAGAAACCCCAGUAGUCC